CUCAUGAACUUUAUUUGCUGUUGUCAAUGUAAACAUCCGAUUACUGUUGCGGCUCUGUUUUGUGAGUUCUGCUAUGUUACUACUCAAUGCCAUUGUUUGGUGUAGAUGGAGCUGUUUCGGGGGUCGUAGAUGAAGCCAAUGUAUCGGUUUGAUGAGCCCGUGAUGAUAAUCCCUGAAUGCAUGUCAGUUUCGCAUAGCUUUACAUACGCUGUGAAGCACAAAUACAAUUAUGUCACCUGCAUAUGCAGACAUAUCUCAUCCAAAAUAUGAGAUUGAAUAGCCUAUGUCAGAAUAUCUACGAUGGUUAAAUGUCACAAUUUUUUUUACAUUAUUUUAUUCUAAUGGUACCAUGUUGGCAUGCAAACAUUUUUAUUACAAUCAUCUUUCUACAAAAUAUUAAAUACAUAUGGUUCAUAAUAUACUUCUAUAUUUAUCCUGUUUUAUAUACUAUAGAUACUGCCUGCCAGGGUACUUGGCAAUGUAACUGGCUUGUUGCUAUGAAUACCAGAUGCUAUGUGAAGUAAGAUGCAGGGGCUUUUCUAAAGUCAUUUCCAGGUGAUAAAAACAAGUAAACACACGGUUUAACACUGUCAAGUCUGUUUUCACGACUUCCUGGGCUGGUCAAAGGGAGUCAGGGGUUAAGAGGUCAAAGAUCCUGGGUCAGAGGUCAAAGAACAGCGUCCUGGAGGUUGCUCACUGCCAUCCUCCUGAGGGCCUUUCCGGACACUUCCAGCGGGUUCUCCAGUGAUUCCGGCCUGACGUUCUUCCUGGAAGCCUUCUCCAGCAUGCGACUGGCCUCCUUCAGGGCUUUCUCUGUCCUCCUAGUCUUCUCUGUCUUCUCUACCUUCAGGGCUUUUCCCUGCUGGAACCCUUGGGCCAGCUUGGCCUCUUCCCCAGGUAAUCCUUCUGUUGACAUGUUAGAUUUGCUCUGAUCCUCCUCAAGGCGCUCUGCCCUCCUCAGACGCAGCCUCUUUUUGCCGGUCUCCUGCUGGAACGGGCCAGCAGCUUGGCAUACGCUCUCCUCGCCACGUGGUGCUAGUGCCCUGCUGGGCCUGAGCUUUGGCACUGAUGGGGAAAGAGGCAGAGGGAGAGACUGGUUUGCUUCUAGGAGGAGGAUGGAAGUCUUUAAUGGUAGAGCCAAUAUCUUCUGAGAGUCUUUCUCCUGUGUGUCUCUGGAUUGGGUUGGCAUGAGCAAGCUCCGCUCUCAGAACCUUCUGCUGUCGCUGGACUCUGGGUGCUGUUUCAUUCAGGGGCAGGGGACGUGGGGCUGGGGUGGAGACACACUCUGCCGCACCUUUAACCAGUUCUGGUCUCUCUCCUCUCACCCCAUAGGCCUUCACCUUCCCGGGGCAGGGUUGGUCCCCCACUGUAGUGUCCAGUUUGCGGGAAGCAGCCUUGGCCUCCAGCCCAAUCCCCUUCAUCUUCUGUCUAUGGGCCUUCUGUACCUCCCUGGGCAGCUCCAGAGGGGCCAGCUUCAGAGGCCGCCGCGGAGGCAGGUUCUCCCCCUCCCUCGGUCGGGAUGAGCCAGGCAGGGAAGACCU
Molecule: long non-coding RNA, 1541 nt
Filed under: Salmo salar (Atlantic salmon)
Lineage: Eukaryota; Metazoa; Chordata; Actinopteri; Salmoniformes; Salmonidae
Description: lncRNA (ENSSSAG00000108367.1)
Source: RNAcentral